This 97-nucleotide non-coding RNA is filed under the name chicken gut metagenome. Its description in RNAcentral is "SAM riboswitch (S box leader)". It matches the Rfam family "SAM riboswitch aptamer (S box leader)". From Rfam's summary of the family: The SAM riboswitch is found upstream of a number of genes which code for proteins involved in methionine or cysteine biosynthesis in Gram-positive bacteria. The record is from RNAcentral.
GUUAUCAAGAGUGGACGAGAGAAUCGGCUCUAAGACUCCACAGCAACCUAUUUGUUUAGGUGCUAAUACCGACAGAGCAAAGAGCUUUGAAUGAUGA